RNAcentral lists this ribosomal RNA (513 nucleotides) under uncultured bacterium. RNAcentral's name for it is "partial 16S ribosomal RNA". It matches the Rfam family "Bacterial small subunit ribosomal RNA", at positions 28 to 523 of the family's 1533-position model. The record is from RNAcentral.
GACGAACGCUGGCGGCAUGCCUAAUACAUGCAAGUCGAGCGAACAGAUGAAGUGCUUGCACUUCUGACGUUAGCGGCGAACGGGUGAGUAACACGUAAGGAAUCUACCUAUAAGCGGAGGAUAACAUUCGGAAACGGGUGCUAAUACCGCAUAAUAUCUUCUUCCGCAUGGAAGAAGAUUGAAAGACGGCUCUGCUGUCACUUAUAGAUGACCUUGCGGUGCAUUAGUUAGUUGGUGGGGUAAUGGCCUACCAAGACGAUGAUGCAUAGCCGACCUGAGAGGGUGAUCGGCCACAUUGGGACUGAGACACGGCCAAAACUCCUACAGGAGGCAGCAGUAGGGAAUCUUCCGCAAUGGGCGAAAGCCUGACGGAGCAAUGCCGCGUGAGUGAAGAAGGCCUUCGGGUCGUAAAACUCUGUUAUAAGAGAAGAACAAAUUGUAGAGUAACUGCUACAGUCUUGACGGUAUCUUAUCAGAAAGCCACGGCUAACUACGUGCCAGCCGCCGCCGUAA